UUGUCACUUGGAAGCUGUUCCAGCCAGGAAGGGAACCCAAGUUGACUUGAAGCCAGGCCCUUAAUUGGAUUGGGUUCCUAGGGAGGCCACUAGCCGGCUCUGCAGCUCUGGAGAAAGGAAGAGCUUCCCUUAACCCUCCUCCACAUCGCAGCCGAAUCCCAGAUGGCUACCACCCAAUAAGGUCGGUGUAUCCUGUCCAGUGAUCACGGUUCUCUCAGACCUCAGGAAGGCCUUCUGCUGACACACCAGCAAACGCAGCGAGUCCUGUGUAGUCUAACUGGAUCUCUCUAUUCACUCAGGCCACCGAUUUUUAUUGAGAGUCUACUAUGUGCCAAACCCCAGACAGCAUCUUGGCUCUUGAAAAGACUUCAACAGACAAAUACCCAAAUUAAAAGGUCCAAGCCGGGAGGCAGCAAUAAGAGCAGUGACUGAGAGCCCCAGCCAAGUGGCUCAGCCAGCAAAGGUGCUUUGGAUGACCUGAGCUCUGGACGACCUGAAUCCACAUGGUGGAAGGUUGCUGAAAAUGGAGAGAUGGUGACAGGAUUGAGUCUGGAUGAUAGCAUCCUGUGCCACCUACUGAUGACUGGUUGGUCCCUAUCUCUACCUCAAGCUUAUACCGGCUGCAACUUCCCACUCAAGCCCCGCCCAUCCACCCACAAUCACCAUCAACUCUCAUGCUGGCAGCCACAGGGUGAGCCAGGAAAGACUCUCUCCCAGAUGCCUGCCUUUUCUAGAAGUCCUUUCAGCUCAGAAUACAGACCUGGCAAAGCUGGUGGCCCUGGCUCAAAUGAAGUGACCGUUUGCCAUUCUGAAAGGUUCACGGACAGCCAGCGUUGCCCUGAGAGAACCAUAGGGGCAAUCAACUCCCCAGUUGCUCCUAAGCAACACCAGAGCCUAGCAGGCCAGCCCUUCCUCCUUAGAAAGUUUGGUUUGUCUGAGGACCUUUCUUCCGUUCUUUGGUGGCUCAGGGAUCUUUGGCGAUUCACGGUUCAUUUAUCGGCUUAUUUAUUUGGUCUUUCUGAAGCCUAAACAGCCAGUUCCUCACAUCUCAGCUUGCAAGCAGAGGGAGGCAUGAAACCACUUGUAAUUCUACGGCAAAUGUGUCCUUUCCCAUAUGACUAGAGAGCCCUUCACCUCCCAACGAAUGAAGGCGCUCUCCAGUUCUGAGGUGCGCUGGGAGCCCAGAGGCCUGCAAAGCCCCAGCAAUGGGGGAACCAGAAGCACCCAGGCACCCCAUGUCUUCCCAGCUGCAUCCUAGUCCCUUGAUAGCCCCAGGCUCCCUCCCUUGCUGGCAGCUUGUGUGACAUUUGGGAGUUGGGCUGGGCUGGUUGGUUUGCUUCCUGCGAAGUCGAGGCGUCUAAGCUCCUGGAGCCAAGCUUCCUCUUGUAUGUCCUUAUUUGGGGCCUGCCUGCAGCCCUUCUUCCCGCAGAACGCCCUGUACCGCUGCCUCUGCCCUACCCAGGUCCACAACGCACCACCGGGAACAGCCUGUGGCAGAAGGACAAGCCCCUUGUCUCAGCUGAUCCCUCCCAGACGACACCCUCAGGGUCCUGAUGAGUGAGCCCCCGGGCUUAUCUGUUGUUCCCAUCUGCUUCUGGCCUCUCGGUUUGGGGGGUGUGGUUCUGGAAGGAUUCCUUUCUUCGGAUGAGCCAGCGCAUGCCAGUCUGGCGGCAGGGUCCACCCCUGCAACCGAGAAAAGGGUGUCCAGCACAGAGCCCUGUAUGCUGCUAACAGCGAUGGCUUCCUACAGCAGGAGACUUAAAAGACAAGGCUGAGAGAAGCCAUCUCAGGAAGUAGGGGGUGAGGACUACAAAGUCAAAGGGGAUAGGAACUUGCUGAUGAGACGUGACCCUGUAGGAACCAGCAUAUAUAAGGGGAUAUUUGUGACCUGGAAGUAUCCCAGCAGACUGUCCCUUCUCUACUUGGAAAGGGGGAAAACUUUAUGGAAUGGGAAAACCUGCCAGAGCCAUAGCAGGUGACAAACCCUAACAUCAGGCACACAAACACCUGGCACUUCUGGAAAUGACUGAGUCACAUGGUGUCACUUUUAUAACAAUCUAGCCUAGAGGGAGGUCAGAUCCCAGUGUGACCCAGAGGAGAAUGAGACACACCCCACUGAAGGAAUGGUCUGUAAAAUAACUGGUUUGUUUUCUUCUAAACAACCAGAGUGACUGACGUAAACUAAAAGAGAGUUGCAGGGCAUGGUGGUGUUCAUCCAGGAUCCCAGCACUCAGAAAGCCAAGGCAAAAAGGCCAUGAGUUCAAGGCCAGCCUGGGAUACAUGGCCAGUCUGUCUCAAACACAAACCAACAAAGAAACAACCCCAACCAACAAGAGAAGUUGGGGGGAGGCGGGGGCUAAAUCACAGUAAAGAGCCAGGUGUGGUGGCUCACACCUGUGAUCCUGGCACUUGGGAGGCUGAAGCAGGAGGAUUGCCAUGUUCUUGAAGCUGCCUUGUACUACGUAGUGAGUGACUACAGCUCAGCUCCCUGGGACCAGUUCCCAUCUUCAGGCUGAGGGGUGGAAGUCUUUCAGCAGUGGGGUGUUGGUCGUGUGGUCUUAUCUCACAAGCCAUUUGUCUAGGCCCCUAUCUGUGGGGACAGGCUGGCGGUGUUGUUAUGCAGUAAAAUGUAAAGGACUUUGAAUUGGCCAUUUCUGGGCCAUUUAGGGCCAGGCACUGUGGGUAACAGGGAGUUGGGCUCUGAAUGUUUAUAUAAGCUGUUCCAAGUCAGGGUCAGGCUCUGACUGUUAAAAUGUGGGGAUUUCUGUCUUAUUUGACUUCUGAACUUUUUGUCUCUAUAACCCUAACUCUAAAAAUACUAGUACUGAUUGGUAAGUUUCCCAAUUCUAAUAUCUGAGUCCCAAAAGGCCCUCUGACAAACACACACACACACUUACACACACUUACACACACACACACACACACACACAGAGAGACAUUGAAAUUACCUUCUGGGGAUGUAGCUGAGUUGGUAGAGUGCUUGCCUAGCACACAUAAAGUCUUGGUUCCAUCCCCCAGUACCACAUAAACCAGGUGUGGCGGCGCAAUUACACUCUCACCAAUUCGGGUGCGCAGAGGCAAGUUCAAGACCUGAAGGUGGAGCAAGGAGGGCCAGGAGAUUCAAGGUCUGGGACAUGCUUGGCCUGGGACAUAUGACAUUCGCCUCAAAACAAACAAAAAGCAAGGCUGGGGAAGAUCACGGGAGAGGGGAGAGAGGAAGGGCAGUGUGGUGGAACACUGUCUCUGGCCACAGCUGCUGUACUCUCCAUCUCGCAAGCAGCUGAUUACCUAUGCCAUACUGGGAGCAUCAUGGAGGAGAAACAGAAGUCCCUCCCCUCCCCGGGGAUCUCUAAACAGUUCAUGGUUGCUGGGGGAGGGAGACAUUUUCUUCAGCGGUGCAGCCGAGGUUAAGGCCGCCUUGCUCCUAUAAACGACCUCUUCCCCAUGCACCUGUACACACCAUUGAUGAAGUCCACUGAGAAAGAAAGAGAACAAGCAGGGCAGUGGUGGCUCACACCUUCAAUCCCAGCCCUCAGGAGG
Long non-coding RNA from Mus musculus (house mouse), 3540 nucleotides. RefSeq annotates it as predicted gene, 30767. The record is from RefSeq and is a predicted model, not a curated record. The transcript is spliced from 3 exons. Lineage: Eukaryota; Metazoa; Chordata; Mammalia; Rodentia; Muridae.